RNAcentral lists this ribosomal RNA (375 nucleotides) under Triticum aestivum (bread wheat). RNAcentral describes it as "partial small subunit ribosomal RNA". The record is from RNAcentral. Lineage: Eukaryota; Viridiplantae; Streptophyta; Magnoliopsida; Poales; Poaceae.
AUGGAUAUGCUGAAGAGAACAGUGGAAAAAUUGACACCCAUAGCCGCUGUGCAGGAUGGAAUGGGGGUGGAAGACAGAAUUCAGACAAACAGGGGGAAAGAGAAAGAAGUGCUCCCAGCACGGGCAACCGGCAAUGCUUGUGGAAGCGAUGCUGAAGGUAGUGCAAUUGGUAGUUUCGUAGGUCUGAAAGCUCCAGAACGGAAACGAAAGUCUGGUCGACCAACCACAAGCAGGGAUAAGCCUCCAUAUGAUGAUCACGAUCUGCUUUACUGUGGUCUAUUUCGACCUGCAGAAAUGAUCAUGUCCUUUGAACACAGAAGGACUAUUGAUCCUUUUGUGAUUCUUCAUAAGGCUUGUCGGCUCAUUGAUUCUUAA